This 74-nucleotide transfer RNA is filed under the name Phrynosoma platyrhinos (Desert horned lizard). RNAcentral describes it as "tRNA-OTHER". The record is from RNAcentral. Lineage: Eukaryota; Metazoa; Chordata; Lepidosauria; Squamata; Phrynosomatidae.
GGCAAUGCAUGGCGUAGUGGUCUGAAUGUUGGACUACCACUCUGGAGACCAGGGUUCAAUUCCCAGCUCAGCCA